RNAcentral lists this ribosomal RNA (253 nucleotides) under uncultured bacterium. Its description in RNAcentral is "partial 16S ribosomal RNA". It matches the Rfam family "Bacterial small subunit ribosomal RNA", at positions 524 to 776 of the family's 1533-position model. The record is from RNAcentral.
GACAGAGGGUGCAAACGUUGUUCGGAAUUACUGGGCGUAAAGCGCGUGUAGGCGGUCUGAAAAGUCGGAUGUGAAAGCCCCGGGCUCAACCCGGGAAGUGCAUUCGAAACUGCCAGGCUAGAGUGUCGGAGAGGUUGGUGGAAUUCUCGGUGUAGAGGUGAAAUUCGUAGAUAUCGAGAGGAACACCGGUGGCGAAGGCGGCCAACUGGACGAACACUGACGCUGAGACUCGAAAGCGUGGGGAGCAAACAGG